Molecule: ribosomal RNA, 887 nt
Filed under: uncultured Synechococcus sp.
Lineage: Bacteria; Bacillati; Cyanobacteriota; Cyanophyceae; Synechococcales; Synechococcaceae
Description: bacterial SSU rRNA
Rfam family: Bacterial small subunit ribosomal RNA
Source: RNAcentral
GUGUGGUAGGGGCAGAGGGAAUUCCCGGUGUAGCGGUGAAAUGUGUAGAUAUCGGGAAGAACACCAGUGGCGAAGGCGCUCUGCUGGGCCAUAAUUGACGCUCAUGGACGAAAGCCAGGGAGCGAAAGGGAUUAGAUACCCCUGUAGUCCUGGCCGUAAACGAUGAACACUAGGUGUCGGGGGAAUCGACCCCCUCGGUGUCGUAGCCAACGCGUUAAGUGUUCCGCCUGGGGAGUACACACGCAAGUGUGAAACUCAAAGGAAUUGACGGGGGCCCGCACAAGCUGUGGAGUAUGUGGUUUAAUUCGAUGCAACGCGAAGAACCUUACCAGGGUUUGACAUCCUGCGAAUCUCUUGGAAACGAGAGAGUGCCUUCGGGAACGCAGUGACAGGUGGUGCAUGGCUGUCGUCAGCUCGUGUUGUGAGAUGUUGGGUUAAGUCCCGCAACGAGGGCAACCCACGUCGUUAGUUGCCAGCAUUCAGUUGGACACUCUAGCGAGACCGCCGGUGAUAAACCGGAGGAAGGUGUGGAUGACGUCAAGUCAUCAUGCCCCUUACAUCCUGGGCUACACACGUACUACAAUGCUACGGACAAAGGGCAGCAAACUCGCGAGAGCUAGCAAAUCCCAUAAACCGUGGCUCAGUUCAGAUCGUAGGCUGCAACUCGCCUACGUGAAGGAGGAAUCGAUAGUAAUCGUAGGUCAGCAUACUGCGGUGAAUACGUUCCCGGGCCUUGUACACACCGCCCGUCACACCAUGGAAGUUGGCCACGCCCGAAGCCGUUACUCCAACCCUUGUGGAGGAGGACGUCGAAGGUGGGGCUGAUGACUGGGGUGAAGUCGUAACAAGGUAGCCGUACCGGAAGGUGCGGCUGGAACACCUCCUAA